AUAUUCUGGUUUCUCUUCAGAUCAUAUAAAUCUUUCACCUUUUACUAAAGGUUUCUUUGGAGAGGAAUAGUUAAUUCUGAGUUGUAACCCAGUUUCUUGAGGUUCUCUGCAGGGCU
This is a small nuclear RNA of Nycticebus coucang (slow loris), 116 nucleotides long. RefSeq annotates it as U5 spliceosomal RNA. The record is from RefSeq and is a predicted model, not a curated record. NCBI's taxonomy places the organism in Eukaryota, Metazoa, Chordata, Mammalia, Primates, Lorisidae. The transcript has a single exon.